RNAcentral lists this long non-coding RNA (358 nucleotides) under Brassica napus (rape). RNAcentral describes it as "long non-coding RNA (BNAP_LNC004706)". Lineage: Eukaryota; Viridiplantae; Streptophyta; Magnoliopsida; Brassicales; Brassicaceae. The record is from RNAcentral.
UCUAUUGUCUAGCUAUAGGUGGGGGGGGAGAGUUGUGAUUAUGAUUUGGGAGCAAUGAAAAAGGAAAAGAAAUGACUCUUUGUGCUUAAGUGAAUUGUUUUAUUGGGACCAGUAUAGAAGCCUCUAGCUCAAGUUUUGAAAGUCUUGGCCCCCAGCCUAAAAAAAAAAAAAAAAAAAAAAGAGAAAAGAAAAAAAAGAAAAGAAAAAGAAAGAAAAAGGGGGCUAGCAAAGUUGUUAGGAGCUAAGUAAUGUUUUGAGGUUGUGAAAAAUCUCUUGUAGAUUUCAAAGAGAAAGAGUUAAUGUUCUUAGAAUCUUUUGGUGAGAGAUGUGAGUUGGGUUUGACAUUUGGGAAUGAUUG